UUACCCGCUGAAUUUAAGCAUAUAAGUAAGCGGAGGACAAGAAACUAAACAGGAUCCCCAUAGUAAUGGCGAAUGAACCGGGAUAAACUCAGCAUGGAAAUUGGGGCCUUUGGCUUUGACUUGUAAUCUGGUGAGGCAUUGCCAACAGAGGCGCAUAUGUAAGUCUCUUGGAAAAGAGCAUCAACGAAGGUGAGAGUCCUGAUUGUCAUGUGCAGCCCCCCUGUGCACGGUGUGCCUUCUAAGAGUCACGUUCCUUGGGAUUGGAGCGCAAAUUGGGUGGUAACUUUCAUCUGAAGUUAAACAAUGGUUUGGGACCGAUAGGAAACAAGUACCAUGAGGGAAAGGUGAAAAGGACUUUGGAAAGAGAGUUAAAAGUGCCUGAAAUUGCUGAAGGGGAAGCGAAUGGAACCAGUGGUGCUGGGUGAGAUUGUCACAUGCUGCAAGGAUUGGUUGCUGCCACAACGCAAGUGUGCUGGCAAUUUGUGAACUGCUAGUGUGUGGUGUGUCUUACCUAGUGGGUCAUUGUGGGUUUAUGCAUUAAGAUAAAUCAAAGCAAGCGGGAGCAAGUUUACGAGUUUGUGAAUGUGUGUUGUUAUGCUUGUGCGUAAGCUUUAGUGUUUGUCUGGCUGCAGGGCUGUCCAUCCUCAAGCUUUGCUGUGGUUGCGAUGAGCAUAACCUUCUGCACAGAUCUUGACGAAAUGGUUUCAUUCGACCCGUCUUGAAACACGGAC
Molecule: ribosomal RNA, 731 nt
Filed under: Dinophysis acuminata
Lineage: Eukaryota; Dinophyceae; Dinophysales; Dinophysaceae
Description: LSU rRNA
Rfam family: Eukaryotic large subunit ribosomal RNA
Source: RNAcentral